This 380-nucleotide ribosomal RNA is filed under the name uncultured eukaryote. RNAcentral describes it as "partial 18S ribosomal RNA". It matches the Rfam family "Eukaryotic small subunit ribosomal RNA", at positions 592 to 976 of the family's 1831-position model. The record is from RNAcentral.
CAAUAGCGUAUAUUAAAGUUGUUGCAGUUAAAAAGCUCGUAGUUGGAUUUGUGGCUGUCACGGGCGGCCUAUCACUUAGUGUUAGUGCUCGCCUGUGUCGCCAUCCUUGGGUGGAGCCCGUGUGGCAUUAGGUUGUCGUGCGGGGGAUGCCCAUCGUUUACUGUGAGAAAAUUAGAGUGUUCAAAGCAGGCUUAUGCCGUUGAAUAUGUUAGCAUGGAAUAAUAAGAUAGGACCUCGGUACUAUUUUGUUGGUUUGCGCACCGAGGUAAUGAUUAAUAGGGACAGUUGAGGGUAUUCGUAUUUCAUUGUCAGAGGUGAAAUUCGUGGAUUUCUGAAAGACGAACUACUGCGAAAGCAUUUACCAAGGAUGUUUUCAUUAA